GGAAAGAUCAGUCUUGAGACGAAAACUUGCUGCAUCUGCUGUUGAAGUUGAGAGACAGAGGAUGAAAUGCUUCCCAUAAUUUUAUCAGCAAGUUCUGUAUCAGCAAGAAGAAAUGCUAUUCUUCACGUGAGUUACUAAGGUUGUAUGCUGUUUGUAUAGAGUAAAAAAGAACUGUAUACUAUUUUCCAAAGAAACUACUUUUAACAAUCUUCUGAUUUUUUUUUCAACCGCUUCUGGGAGUAAAAGAGUUCAAGGCCACUAAGGGGUAUGAACCCAGACCCUAUCAUGGGGUUGCCUCAGCUAUAAGAAGCUGAAAAUGUCACAUUUUUUUUUUCAAAUUAUAUUGAACAUGAAUCAACGCGUUUAAUUUGUUAGUAUUAAGAUUGUAAAAUUUUGGGGCCUGA
RNAcentral lists this unclassified non-coding RNA (404 nucleotides) under Hevea brasiliensis (rubber tree). Lineage: Eukaryota; Viridiplantae; Streptophyta; Magnoliopsida; Malpighiales; Euphorbiaceae. The record is from RNAcentral.